Homo sapiens (human) is the source of this 1410-nucleotide long non-coding RNA. NCBI's taxonomy places the organism in Eukaryota, Metazoa, Chordata, Mammalia, Primates, Hominidae. The record is from Ensembl.
CUUGCCAGUGCUAUUUGAUGCCCUGUUGAACUUUAGCCAAACUUCAUUUUAUAAUGUUCUCUCAGUCCUGAGCAUAUAUAAUAUAUUUUAAUGAAAUUACGCUUCUGUAUUGACUGGCAGACAUCAGAAACACAUUCACAUAGGUCAAAAGCAGUUGAGCUAAGUGUUGGGUGGGAGGAACUAUUAAAACAGUACAGGAAAAAUAUUUGGAAACAAAACAAAACUUUAAAAUAAAAUAACCCAAAUAAACAAUUCUCUCUCUCUCUCUCUCUCUCACACACACACACACACACACGCACACAGAACUUGGAUGUGGCUAUUGGGAGUUAAUGUAUAAUUCUGAUAAUUUGUGUAUUUCUUCAUUAUAUUAAACUUGGAAUUUAUAUUUUUGACAUUAUUCCAAAGGUGUAAUAAUUGACUUUUAAAAUAGAAUAACAUUGUAAUGGGAUCAUAUUAAGCAUAUAUUAAAUGUAACACAAAUAAGCACUGAGUCUACCUAAAGUGGUAUUUUUUUUUAAUUUUGUGGCUACUCAGGGGUUUUGCAUUAUAUUAUCAAAAGCUAACAACCUUAAGGCCAUUUGUGGUAAUUCAAAAAAUGUUCAAGCAUCUAUGCUUGAUGGCUAAGCUUAUAUCUAACAGUGGAAUAACUGCAAGGCAGGAAUUGGCUUGAAAAAGCAAAUAUUGGCUGUGUAUUUCAAAUAUCUUUUCUAGAAUGGAACACUUUGGUUGAUAGAUUGACCUAUUUUGUUUACAUCCAAUAUGUGUACCCCAGUAUAAAACUUAAAAAAUGGCAAUUUCUCAUGAUAUUUUAGUUAUAAGUCUAGAAAUAUCAACCUUGACAUUUGGUUUAAUAAGCUUCUGCCACUUAUUCCUAGAUCAGUAUUUUUCAAUUGACAAAUAAGUUUUCUUUGCGAUCUACCAAAACCAGGUUGUCACAUUCUUUUAGUUGUUACCUGGACAGACUGCUUUUAUUGCUCAUUAAUCAGAUGCUGUGGUUAAGGUGUGUCUAUUAAAUAACUACUUAGGGAUGUAUCGUCAUUCUGUUUGUUUAUUUAAGAAAACAAAUUUUUGUUUUGGUGUAAUUUCUAAAUAAAAUAUAUUCAUGGUAAUGUGGAUAAUUGACAUUAUUUAUACAAAUCAUUUGGAAUUGAGUACCUUGUUAACUGUGUAAUAAGUAUGGUUAUAAAAAGAGAAUGAGUAUCAUAACAUUUUUGCCUAUAUACACUUUUAAAUAUUUAUCAGGAUCUACAUUUUUCUUAAACUGUUAAUUUGGAUGUGUUGAAAUGUAGCCUAUAAAUUUCUUUUUAAGUAAUUGUUACUAAAAAACCUUAUGGAUCUUCACAUGUCUGGUUCCAAUUAAUCUGCUUAGACUAAUGGAUAAAAUAAUAAACCUGAUUUAGUCAAUCUGGA